CACGAGCGUUGAAAAGCUCGGGGCUGACUUGUGGGUAGCGGUGAAAUUCCAAUCGAGCCCGGAGAGAGCUGGUUCUCCCCGAAAUAGCUUGAGGGCUAGCCUCAAGGUGAGAGAGACGGAGGUAGAGCACUGAAUGUCCAAGGGGGUAUUGCACCUACCGAAGACUAUCAAACUCCGAAUGCCGUCAUCCUCUACUUGGGAGUCAGACGGUGGGUGAUAAGAUUCAUAGUCGACAUGGGAACAGCCCAGAGCUUCAGCUAAGGUCCCUACAAGAAAGUGAAGUGGUAAAGGAUGUGGGAUUGAACAGACAACCAGGAUGUUGGCUAAGAAGAAGCCACUCAUUCAAAGAGUGCGUCAUAGCUCACUGGUCGAGUGAUCCUGCGACGAAGAUUUCCGGGGCUAAACCUUACUACCGGCGCACCGGGC
This 426-nucleotide ribosomal RNA is filed under the name Clostridioides difficile. RNAcentral's name for it is "bacterial LSU rRNA". It matches the Rfam family "Bacterial large subunit ribosomal RNA", at positions 781 to 1205 of the family's 2925-position model. The record is from RNAcentral. Lineage: Bacteria; Bacillati; Bacillota; Clostridia; Peptostreptococcales; Peptostreptococcaceae.